AAGUUAUUAAAAUUUAAAACCAUGUACAGAGUACAAUAAGAGAUCGCGAAACCAUCCGACUUCCCUUCUCAUUCUAUUAAGAAUCCUGGAAAUGACUACGGUUGUUCACCGCGUGGAAGGAUUCAUUGUUUGGAAGCGCGGGAACUUCGGUGUGACUUGUUAAGCGAAGAAAACUCUUCUCACGGUGCAAAGUUCACGGCCAGCGCGUCGAUCUUUAUCUACGUAGCCAUGUCCGGGGACCCCUCGAGUCGUUACACGCUAAAAUUACGUCGCCAAUAAUGAGGACGUAGUCUUCGAAUAAUCUCGGUACCACGUCCUUGUAUUUCUUUACCUUGCUAUUUUCUCAACGUUAAAACAUCGAUCUUGCAUCUUUUAUUUAUAAUAUAACGUAACAUUAACUAUAUACACUAUAUUGGAAAACAAACUACCGUAUAAUGAUAAUUAAAAGAGAUAAUAUUUUAGAUAUGAAAACUACUAAAUAUUGAAUCAUGGUAGAAGACGUUUACCCUUUACUCUUCAAAGAAAGAAACGAGAAUUCUUUAUCAUAGUUCCGGCUUGAACCUAUAAUGGUUAUGCUUUGAUCGUAGUGAUUCGUCAACGGCAACGCGGAUAAUAGUCGCGGUUGCACCGGCUGUGUCGAGGUAACGUCUGCCAUAUGCCAAGCUGAAAACCGGCCAUGAUUUUUGCUAGCAUCACUGCCGUAAGGCAAUCGAAAAACAGAAUAGAUAUCCGAAGAAGACGUGCUAUUUGUAUCAGAUGACGUCGAACAGGUACUACAGCUGCAAGAAGUACUACUUGAAUCUGACUCACUCAGAUUAAUGUGCAAAUUUGCAUUAGGAAUUUCGAAAUUAUUCGGAACAGCAAGUUGAACAUUUCUGUCACCGUCGUGCCACGAUGACAAAGUUGUGCUGCUAUCGCUAAGUUUCGUAAUUUUUACUCCAGGCGGAAGUUUUAAUUUGACGGAAUCAUAGUUAACUUUAUCAUACAUCUCACCGAUAAUUUUUGAUGAUUCCAGUUUCGAUUCUUUCAGUUGCGUUUCUUUACAUUUCUUUGCAUUUUGAUUUUUUUGCGAUUUUUCCUUUAGCAGGCAACUGGAAGUUAUAUUUUGCACAUUUAGAGUAGAGAUGAAGUUAUCAUUUUUAUUCGGAGAUUGUUCGUUUUUUUUUAUAACUAUCAUUUUAUUUUCAAGUAUAGAUGACUUAUGAGAAUUUAGUACAAUCGACUUAUUGAAAUGGUUGUAAAUCCCUUUUUCUCGAAAGCAAAAAUCCUGUAACUUUGAAUAAUUAUUUUUUAUAUGGAGAUCUUUGGAAAUACAGUUCAUAUUAUCAAAAUAUUCAUUGUUAUUGGAAUAGUUUAUAGCAGUAGUAGGGCGAAGUUCGUAGGGCGAACGUGUAAAAAUCUUAGAAUUCUCGCAAGUUCCUUUUUUAUACAUUUUUUUCUUGACUUUCCUUGUUAUAACGUGUUUCUUAUUGACAACUUUUUUGUUAUUCAUAUAAUUGUCGCUCUUUUUUUCAUCUUCUGACGACAAUAUUAUUGAAUUGUCUACAUCAGACGCGAAAUCAUUAUUGUAUGUUUUCUGUAGAAAUAUAUUCUUGCUUUAUUUUACAAUAA
This is a long non-coding RNA of Frieseomelitta varia, 1611 nucleotides long. RefSeq lists it as uncharacterized. The transcript is spliced from 3 exons. The record is from RefSeq and is a predicted model, not a curated record. NCBI's taxonomy places the organism in Eukaryota, Metazoa, Arthropoda, Insecta, Hymenoptera, Apidae.